UACGUAGGUCCCGAGCGUUGUCCGGAUUUAUUGGGCGUAAAGCGAGCGCAGGUGGUUUAAUAAGUCUGAUGUAAAAGGCAGUGGCUCAACCAUUGUGUGCAUUGGAAACUGUUAGACUUGAGUGCAGAAGAGGAAAGUGGAAUUCCAUGUGUAGCGGUGAAAUGCGUAGAUAUAUGGAGGAACACCGGUGGCGAAAGCGGCUCUCUGGACUGUAACUGACACUGAGGCUCGAAAGCGUGGGUAGCAAACAGG
This 252-nucleotide ribosomal RNA is filed under the name uncultured microorganism. Its description in RNAcentral is "partial 16S ribosomal RNA". It matches the Rfam family "Bacterial small subunit ribosomal RNA", at positions 524 to 776 of the family's 1533-position model. The record is from RNAcentral.